UCCCUCUUAGCUCAGUUGGUAGAGCGCGUCACUAGUAUGUGUCACAAAGAUCAGAUCUUUUAUGACGAGGUCAGUCGUUCAAGUCGGCUAGAGGGAA
Non-coding RNA from Armillaria borealis, 97 nucleotides. Lineage: Eukaryota; Fungi; Basidiomycota; Agaricomycetes; Agaricales; Physalacriaceae. The record is from the annotation of a GenBank genome assembly.